UCUAAUAUGGCAGAUUAGUGCAUUGGAUUUAAACCCCAAUUAUAAAGAUUUACCUUUUUUUAGAA
RNAcentral lists this transfer RNA (65 nucleotides) under Harmonia axyridis. RNAcentral's name for it is "tRNA-Leu". It matches the Rfam family "tRNA". Rfam says of the family: Transfer RNA (tRNA) molecules are approximately 80 nucleotides in length. Their secondary structure includes four short double-helical elements and three loops (D, anti-codon, and T loops). Further hydrogen bonds mediate the characteristic L-shaped molecular structure. tRNAs have two regions of fundamental functional importance: the anti-codon, which is responsible for specific mRNA codon recognition, and the 3' end, to which the tRNAs corresponding amino acid is attached (by aminoacyl-tRNA synthetases). tRNAs cope with the degeneracy of the genetic code in two manners: having more than one tRNA (with a specific anti-codon) for a particular amino acid; and 'wobble' base-pairing, i.e. permitting non-standard base-pairing at the 3rd anti-codon position. Lineage: Eukaryota; Metazoa; Arthropoda; Insecta; Coleoptera; Coccinellidae. The record is from RNAcentral.